This 508-nucleotide ribosomal RNA is filed under the name Bacillus thuringiensis. Its description in RNAcentral is "bacterial SSU rRNA". It matches the Rfam family "Bacterial small subunit ribosomal RNA", at positions 39 to 529 of the family's 1533-position model. The record is from RNAcentral. Lineage: Bacteria; Bacillati; Bacillota; Bacilli; Caryophanales; Bacillaceae.
CGGGGCGGGAGCUAUUAAUGCUCUCGAGCGUGCGGACUGAUACCUUGCUCUCUGAUCUUCCCGGCGGACGGGUGAUUAAACCCUGGGUACCCUGCAAUCAGACUGGGUUGCCUCCUGAGACUUUGGGCUAAUGCCGAAUAUUCUUUUGAGCUGCCUGGUUCAAAAUUGAGGGGCGGGUUCCGCUGUCACUUAGGGAUAGACCCCCCUCACGUUAGCUACUUGGUGAGGUAACGGCUCACCGUUGCCUCGAUGCGUAGCCGACGUGAGAGGGUGAUCGGCCACACUGGGACUGAGACACGGCUUUCACUCCUACGGGAGGCAGCAGUAAUGAAUCUUCCGCAAUGGACGAAAGUCUGACGGAGCAACGCCGCGUGAGUGAUGAAGGCUUUCGGGUCGUAAAACUCUGUUGUUAGGGAAGAACAGAUGCUAAUUGAAUAAUCUGGCACCUUGACUUGCCCUAACCAGAAACCCCCCCCUAAUUACUUGCCAGCCACCGCGAAAAAUCUCA